GCCCGGCCGGAACUGUGGCGUGCGGGACGUGGCCAGUCGAUCGGGAGCGUACCCGAGUCCCCCCGAGCGGGGCCCAUCCCAUAGCGGGUGCCAGGCCUCUGCAGGUACGCAUCCGACCGGCCGCUACCGUCCCCGGAGUCGGGUCGCUUGGGAAUGCAGCCCGAAGCGGGUGGUAAACUCCACCUAAGGCUAAAUACCGGCGCGAGUCCGAUAGCGGACAAGUACCGCGAGGGAAAGUUGAAAAGAA
RNAcentral lists this ribosomal RNA (247 nucleotides) under Dendronotus shpataki. Its description in RNAcentral is "partial large subunit ribosomal RNA". It matches the Rfam family "Eukaryotic large subunit ribosomal RNA", at positions 131 to 373 of the family's 3401-position model. The record is from RNAcentral. Lineage: Eukaryota; Metazoa; Mollusca; Gastropoda; Nudibranchia; Dendronotidae.